GCAUCAGUAGUGUAAUGGUUGAUAUGUAGUCCCGAGCACAUAUCGGUCACGUUCGGGGUUCGAACCCCCAUUGGUGCA
Molecule: non-coding RNA, 78 nt
Organism: Armillaria novae-zelandiae
Lineage: Eukaryota; Fungi; Basidiomycota; Agaricomycetes; Agaricales; Physalacriaceae
Source: the annotation of a GenBank genome assembly